RNAcentral lists this ribosomal RNA (253 nucleotides) under uncultured bacterium. RNAcentral describes it as "partial 16S ribosomal RNA". It matches the Rfam family "Bacterial small subunit ribosomal RNA", at positions 524 to 776 of the family's 1533-position model. The record is from RNAcentral.
UACGUAGGGGGCAAGCGUUGUCCGGAUUUAUUGGGCGUAAAGAGCGUGUAGGCGGCCAUGUAGGUCCGUUGUGAAAACUCGAGGCUCAACCUCGAGACGCCGAUGGAAACCAUGUGGCUAGAGUCCGGAAGAGGAGAGUGGAAUUCCCGGUGUAGCGGUGAAAUGCGCAGAUAUCGGGAAGAACACCCGUGGCGAAGGCGGUUCUCUGGGACGGUACUGACGCUGAGACGCGAAAGCGUGGGGAGCGAACAGG